Dinoponera quadriceps is the source of this 926-nucleotide long non-coding RNA. RefSeq lists it as uncharacterized. Lineage: Eukaryota; Metazoa; Arthropoda; Insecta; Hymenoptera; Formicidae. The record is from RefSeq and is a predicted model, not a curated record. The transcript is spliced from 3 exons.
AAUAGCGAGAGUUAAUAGCGAGAGACUGAGAGCAGAGAGAAGCGUGAGAGAGUUGAGCGAGAAGCGGUAGAGAGUAGAGUUGUAAGCGGUGGAGAGCGUAGAGACUGUAAUAGAGUUGGCGAGAAGUCUGUAGGAGAGAAGAGCGCGGAAUAAAGACGUUGGAAGAGGAAAAAGCGAGUCAAGCCAUUCUGACCCCGCCUGCACCUUCGUUGCUCCCGUUCGGCGUUUGUGGGGAGGCCAAGAAGCGGAGCAAACCAAACUGGUCGCCCCCACAUACGAACAUAAAGCAGACUGGAGAAGGGUUAACAAUGGCCGGCAUUCGGAUCUUUCUGAUUUUAACUCUCAAGAACUAGAAAUGUUCUAUUACAGGACACGACUUUAUCCGCCCCGACUGGUGCUUAUUAAGGCGAUUGUAACCUAAUAAUAGGCAACAGUUACGGGGCCCGAUAGUGGUAUUGGCACAGGCAUGUUUCAUCAAAACAUUCCCCCUCCAACUGGCCCUCAGGUGCCAGAGGCUUGGCCUAAUUUUUGGGUCAAGUGACGGGAUAUUUUGGAGUGAUGAUGAAGGGGAGACUGAGAAAAAGUUGAGAAGACUAAAGCCCGACAAUUACAUAGCGGCGGUUGUUCCUGACUUUUAGCGAAUUUUAACAUGCAAAUUUUUCUAAAAAGAGAUCACGUAGUGUUCUACGACCGAAGUUGCCCUUAAGGACCGUAUUUGCUGACCUAUACACGUAGCAUAGGAAAAAUAAGGACAUCGUUUUAUUUGAAAUACAACGAUUAAUAUUUUAACAUAAAAAAUAUGCAACGUGAAGUCCCAUCGUCUUGGCUCUUUGUUGCUAAGGUCCGGACUGACGAAGCGAUGACAAGAGCAAGGGUCAGGAGUGAAAGGGAGGGUGAGUCGUAGUAGAGAGAGACCUAAACGUGAG